UGAGGAAUAUUGGGCAAUGCCCGCAAGGGUGACCCAGCAACGCCGCGUGGAGGAUGAAUGUCGUAAGAUUGUAAACUCCUGUUAGAGGGGAAGAAUAGUACCGGUUGGACCGGUAUAUGACUGUACCCUCAGAGAAAGCCCCGGCUAACUACGUGCCAGCAGCCGCGGUAAUACGUAGGGGGCAAGCGUUGUCCGGAUUUACUGGGUGUAAAGGGCGUGCAGGCGGGAUAAAAAGUCAGUGGUGAAAUCCUACAGCUUAACUGUAGAACUGCCUUUGAUACUUUUAUUCUUGAGUUCGGGAGAGAGACGGAAUUCCAGGUGUAGUGGUGAAAUACGUAGAUAUCUGGAAGAACACCAGUUGCGAAGGCGGUCUCUUGGUCCGACACUGACGCUGAGGCGCGAAAGCGUGGGGAGCAAACA
RNAcentral lists this ribosomal RNA (420 nucleotides) under uncultured bacterium. Its description in RNAcentral is "bacterial SSU rRNA". It matches the Rfam family "Bacterial small subunit ribosomal RNA", at positions 355 to 774 of the family's 1533-position model. The record is from RNAcentral.